Salvelinus namaycush (lake trout) is the source of this 2036-nucleotide long non-coding RNA. RefSeq lists it as uncharacterized. The transcript is spliced from 3 exons. Lineage: Eukaryota; Metazoa; Chordata; Actinopteri; Salmoniformes; Salmonidae. The record is from RefSeq and is a predicted model, not a curated record.
UACAAACGCCUAGUGUUACUGUACAUGAAAAGGCAGGACUUCGAUCAGUUAGGUAGCUAACGUUACACUGCUUAGUCCAGUUUAGAAUGACUUUUGCCAACAUCGAAAUAACUUGGUCAAAAUGUAUUAUCCACCUAACUCGUUCCUGAACUGGGGCAAACCAGAAAUAUUCUGCACUACUUUUAAUAAUGGUGUCUGUUUACAACGUGUGUUGGAGAAAAGAAGAGGAGGAGAUCGGAGAGAAGAAUAGUGGCGGAACGGUCACUCUCUCCUGCAGGGCAUGUAGGAUUGAGAUGGAUGAGAUGAACUACCCUGUUUGAAAUGAUCUUGUGAGGACACUGAGACAGAAGCAAGACUUCUUAGUUAGAUCCCACCGGCUCAGCCUGUCUCGUACUGUACCUUGGCAGGUGGGAACACAAUAAUUUAGUUUGAACUAUAGUAUGUAUUGCUGUAUGUACAUUUCACUUUUCAGGCAUUAUAAAAAAGAUCAUGCCUGGGUAUCACAAGGAUAUGAUAUCAUUAAUUGACAAGUGCAUUUUGGUUUAGAAAAACAUUUGAUUGAAAGGAUCCACUCAGAGGACCCCAAAGCAUUGAAAUCAAAUACCUAAAUUCUAUAUUUUUUAAACACUUUUUUUAAUGUAUUCCCUGGUUUACGGUACUAUUGCCUUUAUCCUAUAUGUAAUAUGAUGGACUGUAUAUAUCCUUUCCAUACAUAGACCAAAAUCCCCAAAAUGUACCAUGCCAGCUUUUUCAUAGAUCUGAAAGGGAUAGGGUGUAAAAAAACAUGGUCAAUUAAAAUCCACCUAAAGACCUAGUUAUGGGGUGGCAGGUAGCCUAGUGGUUAGAGCGUUGGGCCAGUAACCGAAAGGUUGCUAGAUCGAAUCCCCGAGCUGACAAGGUAAAAAUCUGUCAGUCUGCCCCUGAACAAGGCAGUUCCUAGGCUGUCAUUGUAAAUAGGAAUUUGUUCUUAACUGACCUGCCUAGUUAAAUAAGACAGACCCUGUAACCGAAAUACAGGUAUUGGGUAUGUGUGAAUGGUUCCCUGCUUUUUUGUAAGUAAAUUCAUCAACACUUCUAUUGUUUAACACCUCCCUAAUUUGAAAUGCAAACAGCCCCCAUGGUUUAAGAACAUCCCCCGACCCUCCCAAUUUGCCAGUUACCCACUGAUAUGUAUAAUACAGUGGAGGCUGCUGAGGGGAGGACAGCUCAUAAUAAUGGCUGGAAGGGAGUGAGUGGCAUCAAACACAUGGAAACCACGUGUUUGAUGUAUUUGACACCAUUCCACUAAUUCCGCUUCUGCCAUUACCACAAGCCCGUCCUCCCCAAUUAAGGUGCCACCAACCUCCUGUGGUAUAAUAGCGGUAUACCUGCAAAUAAGUGAUAAAUAAGGGGCUGUUUGAAAGGGGGUCAUAUAAACAUUGCCUUAUAUUUUUUACAGGUUGGUGUUUUUUUGUUAUUUCCUGUGUGAUCGUGUCAUGUGGCUCUUCAUAACUUGUCCUUUCCUGACACUCAGGGGACCCCGUCAAUUAGCUGUAUUCUGUUUAUAUUUCCUCCCGCUAGAACACCUGGCAAACAAUUACUCUACUGUUAAAGCAGGAGGGAGUUUUUGGACAAAGCACCUCAUAGCACCCAAGUGAUGACAUGGAUCUGUUAAAUGGCUCUAAAGCUGUUUUUGUGUUAUAAAGAGAGCCUCUUUGCAGACUUUUGUCUUUGAAAGGCAUUGCCUGAGGCUCAAAUACUACGAGGCUGCCUGUUAAUGACUUCUCAAGAGAGAGAGGGGAAUAGCUGGAGACAGGAGAUCAUGCUAAGCUCUGCUGGGUUUUCCUAAUUGCAGUUGUGAUUCCUCGGUUGUUGAGGGCGAUUUGUUGAAGUUUAGUCCUUGAUAUCUCAAAAUGGUUCUGUACCUUUCACAUGACAACAAUAAAUGAUUUGAAACUAAGAAUGUUGUCUGACUUGAGUUUUUUGUUUUAUAUGGACAAAUAUAAAUGUUUUAAAUAAUUGGAAGAAGCAUAAAUUCCCCCUGAAGUGCCAAAAGG